UUCGAUGCAACGCGAAGAACCUUACCUGGUCUUGACAUCCCGGAGACCCUUAGGAAACUAGGGGUGCUUCCAUCUGGAAGAAUCUGGAGACAGGUGGCUGCAUGGCUGUCGUCAGCUCGUGUCGUGAGAUGUUGGGUUAAGUCCCGCAACGAGCGCAACCCUUGCCUUUAGUUGCCAGCAGUUCGGCUGGGCACUCUAAAGGGACUGCCGGUGUUAAACCGGAGGAAGGUGGGGAUGACGUCAAGUCCUCAUGGCCUUUAUGACCAGGGCUACACACGUACUACAAUGGCCGAUACAAAGGGCAGCGACACUGCGAGGUGAAGCCAAUCCCGUAAAAUCGGUCUCAGUCCGGAUUGGAGUCUGCAACUCGACUCCAUGAAGUUGGAAUCGCUAGUAAUCGUGGAUCAGCAUGCCACGGUGAAUACGUUCCCGGGCCUU
Molecule: ribosomal RNA, 438 nt
Filed under: uncultured Desulfobulbus sp.
Lineage: Bacteria; Pseudomonadati; Thermodesulfobacteriota; Desulfobulbia; Desulfobulbales; Desulfobulbaceae
Description: bacterial SSU rRNA
Rfam family: Bacterial small subunit ribosomal RNA
Source: RNAcentral